GACGAACGCUGGCGGCGUGCGUAACACAUGCAAGUCGAGCGGAACAAGAGAGCUUGCUCUUUUGUUUAGCGGCGGACGGGUGAGUAACACGUGGGCAACCUGCCCUGUACAGGGGGAUAGGCACUCGAAAGGGUGAUUAAUACCGCAUAAAAAGACAUAUUCGCAUGGGUAUGUCUUCAAAGGAGAGAUCCGGUACAGGAUGGGCCCGCGACCCAUUAGUUAGUUGGAGAGGUAACGGCUCACCAAGACAGCGAUGGGUAGCCGAUCUAAGAGGAUGAGCGGCCACAUUGGAACUGAGAGACGGUCCAGACUCCUACGGGAGGCAGCAGUGGGGAAUAUUGCGCAAUGGGGGGAACCCUGACGCAGCAACGCCGCGUGAGUGAAGAAGGCCUUCGGGUCGUAAAGCUCUGUCAUAGCCGACGAAGAAUGACUGUAAGCUAUGAGGAAGCCACGGCUAACUAC
This 462-nucleotide ribosomal RNA is filed under the name uncultured bacterium. RNAcentral's name for it is "bacterial SSU rRNA". It matches the Rfam family "Bacterial small subunit ribosomal RNA", at positions 28 to 504 of the family's 1533-position model. The record is from RNAcentral.